GACGAACGCUGGCGGCGUGCUUAACACAUGCAAGUCGAACGGAAAGGCCCUGCUUUUGUGGGGUGCUCGAGUGGCGAACGGGUGAGUAACACGUGAGUAACCUGCCCUUGACUUUGGGAUAACUUCAGGAAACUGGGGCUAAUACCGGAUAGGAGCUCCUGCUGCAUGGUGGGGGUUGGAAAGUUUCGGCGGUUGGGGAUGGACUCGCGGCUUAUCAGCUUGUUGGUGGGGUAGUGGCUUACCAAGGCUUUGACGGGUAGCCGGCCUGAGAGGGUGACCGGCCACAUUGGGACUGAGAUACGGCCCAGACGCCUACGGGAGGCAGCAGUGGAGAAUAUUGCACAGUGGGCGGAAGCCUGAUGCAGCAACGCCGCGUGCGGGAUGACGGCCUUCGGGUUGUAAACCGCUUUCGCCUGUGACGAAGCGUGAGUGACGGUAAUGGGUAAAGAAGCACCGGCUAACUACGUG
Molecule: ribosomal RNA, 468 nt
Filed under: uncultured bacterium
Lineage: Bacteria
Description: partial 16S ribosomal RNA
Rfam family: Bacterial small subunit ribosomal RNA
Source: RNAcentral